AAUAUUGCACAAUGGAGGGAACUCUGAUGCAGCAACGCCGCGUGAGUGAAGAAGGUUUUCGGAUCGUAAAACUCUGUCAUUGGGGAAGAAUAAAUGACGGUACCCAAUGAGGAAGCCCCGGCUAACUACGUGCCAGCAGCCGCGGUAAUACGUAGGGGGCGAGCGUUGUCCGGAAUCACUGGGCGUAAAGGAUGCGUAGGCGGUAGCUUAAGUCAGAUGUGAAAGACCACAGCUUAACUGUGGGGUUGCAUUUGAAACUGGGUUACUUGAGUAUCGGAGAGGGUAGUGGAAUUCCCGGAGUAGCGGUGAUAUGCGUAGAUAUCGGGAGGAACACCAGUGGCGAAGGCGACUACCUGGACGGUAACUGACGCUGAGGCACGAAAGCUAGGGGAGCAAACA
Molecule: ribosomal RNA, 399 nt
Filed under: uncultured bacterium
Lineage: Bacteria
Description: partial 16S ribosomal RNA
Rfam family: Bacterial small subunit ribosomal RNA
Source: RNAcentral